AGUGAACGCUGGCGGUAGGCCUAACACAUGCAAGUCGAACGGCAGCACAGUAAGAGUGCGCCUCUACGGGUGGCGAGGGGCGGACGGGUGAGGAAUACAUCGGAAACUACUUUUUCGUGGGGGAUAACGUAGGGACACUUAUGCUAAUACCGCAUACGACCUACGGGAGAAAGCAGUGGAUCUUCGGACCUUGCGCGAUUGAAUGAGCCGAUGCCGGAUUAGCUAGUUGGCGGGGUAAAGGCCCACCAAGGCAACGAUACGUAGCGGGUCUGAGAGGAUGAUCAGCCACACUGGAACUGAGACACGGUCCAGACUCCUACGGGAGGCAGCAGUGGGGAAUAUUGGGCAAUGGGCGAAAGCCUGAUCCAGCCAUGCCGCGUGGGUGAAGAAGGCCUUCGGGUUGUAAAGCCCUUUUAUUGGGAAAGAAAAGCAGCAGGUUUAUCCCCCGCUGUUCUGACGGUACCCAAAGAAUAAGCACCGGCUAACUUCGUG
This 492-nucleotide ribosomal RNA is filed under the name uncultured bacterium. RNAcentral describes it as "partial 16S ribosomal RNA". It matches the Rfam family "Bacterial small subunit ribosomal RNA", at positions 29 to 507 of the family's 1533-position model. The record is from RNAcentral.